Molecule: ribosomal RNA, 845 nt
Filed under: Bacillus subtilis
Lineage: Bacteria; Bacillati; Bacillota; Bacilli; Caryophanales; Bacillaceae
Description: bacterial SSU rRNA
Rfam family: Bacterial small subunit ribosomal RNA
Source: RNAcentral
UCGAGCGGACAGAUGGGAGCUUGCUCCCUGAUGUUAGCGGCGGACGGGUGAGUAACACGUGGGUAACCUGCCUGUAAGACUGGGAUAACUCCGGGAAACCGGGGCUAAUACCGGAUGGUUGUUUGAACCGCAUGGUUCAAACAUAAAAGGUGGCUUCGGCUACCACUUACAGAUGGACCCGCGGCGCAUUAGCUAGUUGGUGAGGUAAUGGCUCACCAAGGCAACGAUGCGUAGCCUACCUGAGAGGGUGAUCGGCCACACUGGGACUGAGACACGGCCCAGACUCCUACGGGAGGCAGCAGUAGGGAAUCUUCCGCAAUGGACGAAAGUCUGACGGAGCAACGCCGCGUGAGUGAUGAAGGUUUUCGGAUCGUAAAGCUCUGUUGUUAGGGAAGAACAAGUACCGUUCGAAUAGGGCGGUACCUUGACGGUACCUAACCAGAAAGCCACGGCUAACUACGUGCCAGCAGCCGCGGUAAUACGUAGGUGGCAAGCGUUGUCCGGAAAUUAUUGGGCGUAAAGGGCUCGCAGGCGGUUUCUUAAGUCUGAUGUGAAAAGCCCCCCGGCUCAACCGGGGGAGGGUUCAUUGGAAAACUGGGGAACUUGAGUGCAGAAGAGGAGAGUGGAAUUCCACGUGUAGCGGUGAAAUGCGUAGAGAUGUGGAGGAAACACCAGUGGCGAAGGCGACUCUCUGGUCUGUAACUGACGCUGAGGAGCGAAAGCGUGGGGGAGCGAACAGGAUUAGAUACCCUGGAGUCCACGCCGUAAACGAUGAGUGCUAAGUGUUAGGGGGGUUUCCGCCCCUUUAGUGCUGCAGCUAACGCAUUUAAGCACUCCGCCUGGGG